This 464-nucleotide ribosomal RNA is filed under the name Vreelandella stevensii. RNAcentral's name for it is "partial 16S ribosomal RNA". It matches the Rfam family "Bacterial small subunit ribosomal RNA", at positions 339 to 795 of the family's 1533-position model. Lineage: Bacteria; Pseudomonadati; Pseudomonadota; Gammaproteobacteria; Oceanospirillales; Halomonadaceae. The record is from RNAcentral.
CCUCGGGGGGCAGCAGUGGGGAAUAUUGGACAAUGGGCGAAAGCCUGAUCCAGCCAUGCCGCGUGUGUGAAGAAGGCCUUCGGGUUGUAAAGCACUUUCAGUGGGGAAGAAAGCCUUGGGGCUAAUACCCUCGAGGAAGGACAUCACCCACAGAAGAAGCACCGGCUAACUCCGUGCCAGCAGCCGCGGUAAUACGGAGGGUGCGAGCGUUAAUCGGAAUUACUGGGCGUAAAGCGCGCGUAGGCGGUCUGAUAAGCCGGUUGUGAAAGCCCCGGGCUCAACCUGGGAACGGCAUCCGGAACUGUCAGGCUAGAGUGCAGGAGAGGAAGGUAGAAUUCCCGGUGUAGCGGUGAAAUGCGUAGAGAUCGGGAGGAAUACCAGUGGCGAAGGCGGCCUUCUGGACUGACACUGACGCUGAGGUGCGAAAGCGUGGGUAGCAAACAGGAUUAGAUACCCCUGUAGUC